CGCCACCUCCAUAUGUCUACAAAUCUCCACCACCACCACCAUACAAGUAUGAAUCACCUCCACCUCCACCAUACAAGUAUGAAUCACCUCCACCACCUCCAUAUGUUUACAAAUCUCCUCCGCCACCGCCUUAUGUCUACAAGUCACCACCGCCUCCACCUUACAAAUAUGAAUCUCCACCACCUCCCCCAUACAAGUAUGAGUCACCACCGCCCCCUCCUUACAAAUAUGAAUCACCUCCACCACCUCCUUAUGUCUACAAGUCUCCACCACCUCCACCUUACAAGUAUGAAUCUCCACCACCUCCCCCAUACAAGUAUGAAUCACCACCGCCCCCUCCUUACAAAUACGAAUCACCUCCAUAUGUCUACAAAUCUCCGCCGCCACCACCUUACAUCUACAAGUCUCCUCCACCUCCGCCAUACAAGUACGAGUCACCUCCACCCCCACCUUACAAGUAUGAAUCACCACCACCGCCUCCUUAUGUCUACAAGUCACCACCUCCCCCUCCAUACAAAUACGAAUCACCUCCUCCACCCCCAUAUGUCUACAAAUCUCCACCACCCCCACCAUACAAGUAUGAGUCACCACCACCCCCACCAUACAAGUACGAAUCACCUCCUCCACCUCCAUAUGUCUACAAGUCACCACCACCUCCACCUUACAAGUACGAGUCACCUCCUCCACCUCCCUCAUACAAGUAUGAAUCACCUCCAUAUGUCUACAAAUCUCCACCACCACCUCCUUACGUCUAUAAGUCACCACCACCCCCACCUUACAAGUAUGAAUCACCUCCUUACAUCUACAAGUCACCACCACCUCCACCUUACAAGUAUGAGUCACCACCACCACCUCCUUACAUCUACAAAUCGCCACCGCCUCCACCUUAUGUCUACAAAUCUCCCCCACCCCCACCUUACAAAUAUGUCUCACCACCACCACCACC
RNAcentral lists this long non-coding RNA (946 nucleotides) under Olea europaea (common olive). RNAcentral's name for it is "long non-coding RNA (OEUR_LNC006518)". The record is from RNAcentral. Lineage: Eukaryota; Viridiplantae; Streptophyta; Magnoliopsida; Lamiales; Oleaceae.